RNA transcript from Argentina anserina (silverweed cinquefoil), 883 nucleotides. It is a transcript of the gene named protein CHROMATIN REMODELING 24-like, with no coding region annotated. The record is from RefSeq and is a predicted model, not a curated record. NCBI's taxonomy places the organism in Eukaryota, Viridiplantae, Streptophyta, Magnoliopsida, Rosales, Rosaceae. The transcript is spliced from 7 exons.
AUGAAACCCAGAAUACAAUGGUCGCCUGCUGUCUGGAACCCAAGUACUGAUAGUCAGAGUGUGGAUCGUGCAUAUCGGAUUGGGCAGAAUAAGGAUAUCAUUGUAUAUAGAUUAAUGACUUGCGCAACUGUUGAAGAAAAGAUUUACAGAAAACAGAUUUUCAAAGGAGGAUUGUUUAGAACUGCAACUGAGGAGAAAGAGCAGAUUCGGUACUUUAGUCAACAGGGAAGAGUCUUUAUAAUCUCAUAUAGAGUUCUUGGUGUCAGUCACCACAGUUUACUGUUCUCCAAGACAGCACCACCUCUGCCAGAGGUAGACGCAGAACAGGAGGAAGUUGAAAGUAUUAAACGAACUUUACAUGCAGGAACCUCAACUUCUAGUUCGGCACUUGAACGUAAUGUAAAUGGGGCCCAAUAUGCUUUCAAGCCCAAAGGAUGUGAUCUUAAACAAGAGGGUUUCUUCUUCACCAGUUGAUUCAGGAAAAAUGACAAAAUCAGAGAUCAAAGAGAAAAUCAGUACGCUGUCGCAAAUGCUUGCAAAGAAGGCUUUAGUUUCAACAUUACCUGAUAAGGGACAAAAACUAGAGAGACACCUUUCUGAAUUGAAUGUUGAGCUUCGUAGAUUUGAGAGUGAUGUUAUCGACUUGGAUGAUGUAACUGAGGUGCUUAAAGGAGUGGCGAUAUAAGACCUCACGCUGGUGGAGAAGGAAACAAAGGCAUGGGAAAUGUUAGGCGCUCUGUUGUCAUUAUAAUUUUUGGUCGAAACUGUGAAUCGAAACUAUAAUGCUGUUUAUUGAAUCAGCGUGCUAGCGUAGCCUCACCACAGAGCAGUGAGCAUUUUGUUCUCUGGCCAUGUAUGUUGAGCUUCCAACCAUUUAGCAAGA